GUGAGGAUCCCGAAGCAGAGCUCACAAGCGCGAUGCUGUGCCCUCUGGGCUUUGUAGUCCGUUCGCGUUGAGCGCUCUCUGAUCCAGUUCGCACUCUCCAGCUGGCAGCCUGGCCCUAGGCUUUGAAUGCUUGUACAUGGCCUGGGAUUUAGCACUUUAUAAUUGUUCCUGUGGAUCCUGCGCUGUUCUAGAGAAAAUUUCCUUGGAGAGAGGAGAAUCUUUUGAUUAAGUAUAUACUUAAAAUUACCCCCCCCCUUUUGCACUAGAGCCAUUCUACAUUUAUUUCUGUACAAUCACAGGGAACUAAAAGCUGGUGAGCCAUUCAGAGUUACAGAGAAUAGUGUGUAUUUCCUAGCAUUUAUGCUCAGUUCUGCAGAGAAAUGCAUUUUAAUUCUUGGAAACCCAUAAAUUCUCAAUUCUGUAGUACCCUCUAUUUUUGUUGCAUAUUUUUUUCUUUUUCUUCUUUUUUUCAUCUUAGGAGAGAGUGGUUUGUUGCUCAGCGUUGCCUCACGAGUAAAAAUGUAACAUUAAACCUUCAUCAAUAAGUUUUGAAUGUGAAGUUUGAAGCCAUGUGUGGCAGUGUUCAUUUGCAAUCCUAUCAUUUGGGAGGCUAGAAUAAGGGUUAUGUGUAGAACAGAGAUAGGCUAGGUGGUGUUUCAGUAAAAAGAAAUUCAAAAUAACAGUGUUUUAAUACAAAACUUUAUUUUUUACUAUGUUAUCUCCAUAGUUUAGAAUGAGAAGAUGGAAGAAUUGUUCCAUGCACAUUCAGGUCCUGUCAACCACCAUGACAAGAGAAAGGUGACAAAGAAUUAUGGCCUAUUCUCAGAAGCUUCUGACCAAAUUAACAUUUCAACGAUAGCAUGUGGUCAUGCUAACUUCAAAAGAAUGACGCAUUAAAUAACUUUGAGAGCCUAACAAACUACUUACCAGCUUAAAAUAUCAACUAUGGAAUAGUGAGGUGGCUCAGUAGAUGAAGGUACUUGCCACCAAGCCUAACAAUCUGACUUUGGUAUUUGGGACCUCCCAUAGUGGAAGAAGAGAACUGACUCCAAGUUUUCCUCUGAUCUCCCUCCACAUACAUACUGCUGCGCAAGCAUGUACAUCUACACAUACAUGUGCUUUUACAUACACACACAAUAAAUAAAUAAAAUGUAAAAACAUUUAACAUUUAGUUACUGAUUCUAUGAAAUAAUUUGUCCUAGGCUUGGCUGGACCUUUAUGUGGCUUUGACUGGGGCUUUGUGGCCAGCUGUUUGACAGUUAGACAGUUGCUUUUCUGAGGGAUAUCUAUCAGCUGGAUCACAGAAACCAAUCUCCCUACUCUUCAAGGGGCUACCCCUGACUUUUCACAUGGUUCCUGUUACAGGGUUCAAAGAGCAGCAUGAAGGCUAGACCAUAUUCCUAAGCAUUUUUUAAAGUCUCAACAUGGAUCAUUUUAGGUCCCAAUGGAUAAAACAAGUAACAUGGCUAAGUCCAGUGUCAAUAUGGGUAAUAUAUUAUGCCAUAAAUAGAAAUAUGUGUAAGUCACAUGAAAAGGGGGAAUUACGUGUUUCUCCCAAAUAAAGGGGAAAUGCAAAGAGGAAUAGAACAAAUCUCUAUUGGUGAGAAAAAG
RNAcentral lists this long non-coding RNA (1611 nucleotides) under Cricetulus griseus (Chinese hamster). Its description in RNAcentral is "lncRNA (ENSCGRG00015034768.1)". Lineage: Eukaryota; Metazoa; Chordata; Mammalia; Rodentia; Cricetidae. The record is from RNAcentral.